AACGAGCGCUGGCGGCAUGCCUAACACAUGCAAGUCGAACGAUUGCCUUCGGGUGAUAGUGGCGCACGGGUGCGUAACGCGUGGGAAUCUGCCCUUAGGUUCGGAAUAACAGCUGGAAACGGCUGCUAAUACCGGAUGAUAUCGCGAGAUCAAAGAUUUAUCGCCUGAGGAUGAGCCCGCGUUGGAUUAGGUAGUUGGUGGGGUAAAGGCCUACCAAGCCGACGAUCCAUAGCUGGUCUGAGAGGAUGAUCAGCCACACUGGGACUGAGACACGGCCCAGACUCCUACGGGAGGCAGCAGUGGGGAAUAUUGGACAAUGGGCGCAAGCCUGAUCCAGCAAUGCCGCGUGAAUGAUGAAGGCCCUAGGGUUGUAAAGCUCUUUUACCCGGGAAGAUAAUGACUGUACCGGGAGAAUAAGCCCCGGCUAACUCCGUG
This 435-nucleotide ribosomal RNA is filed under the name uncultured bacterium. RNAcentral describes it as "partial 16S ribosomal RNA". It matches the Rfam family "Bacterial small subunit ribosomal RNA", at positions 29 to 507 of the family's 1533-position model. The record is from RNAcentral.